UGUUGGGUUUCUAUAUCGUUGAUCUCAUCUUCAAGCUUAAUCAUAACAAAAUGAUUUGAAACUUCAUGAAAAUUACCUAUUUUCCCAUGUGUUGCAUUAUCUAAGCAGACACCUAACUAAUAUUUGUUACUGAUAAGGUGGCGCAGAUCACAAAUGGGGUUCAUUUUGUUUGAGGCUCAGGUUUGAGGUCUUUUGGUCUAUUAAAAUUGGAAUUUGGAAAAUGAAUACGCAGGCUUACUACCGAACAGAUGUUGGCUUCAUUUUGAUUGACCUGCAUUUAAAAUAAAUGUGAUCACUGGACAUUUAA
This 307-nucleotide long non-coding RNA is filed under the name Mytilus galloprovincialis (Mediterranean mussel). The record is from RNAcentral. Lineage: Eukaryota; Metazoa; Mollusca; Bivalvia; Mytilida; Mytilidae.